This 80-nucleotide small RNA is filed under the name Acidobacteriaceae bacterium KBS 89. RNAcentral describes it as "nadA riboswitch". It matches the Rfam family "nadA riboswitch". Lineage: Bacteria; Pseudomonadati; Acidobacteriota; Terriglobia; Terriglobales; Acidobacteriaceae. The record is from Rfam by way of RNAcentral. RNAcentral also lists the same sequence under 1 other name.
GCUUUCAACAUCCCCGUCUCAGAGGUGAAAAGACGGUUCCGGCCUGGCCGGCGCCCGACGACCUUUGUGAGACUGAAGGC